GACGAACGCUGGCGGCGUGCUUAACACAUGCAAGUCGAACGGAAAGGCCCUGCUUUUGUGGGGUGCUCGAGUGGCGAACGGGUGAGUAACACGUGAGUAACCUGCCCUUGACUUUGGGAUAACUUCAGGAAACUGGGGCGAAUACCGGGUAUGAGCUCCUGCUGCAUGGGGGGGGUUGGAAAGUUUCGGCGGUUGGGGAUGGAUUCGCGGCUUAUGCGCUUGUUGGGGGGGUAGUGGCGUUCAAAGGCUUUGACGGGUAGCCGGCCUGGGAGGGUGACCGGGCACAUUGGGACUGAGAUACGGCCCAGACUCGUACGGGAGGCAGCAGUGGGGAAUAUUGCGCAAUGGGCGGAAGCCUGAUGCAGCGACGCCGCGUGCGGGAUGACGGCCUUCGGGGUGUAAACAGCUUUCGCCUGUGACGAAGCGUGAGUGACGGUAAUGGGUAAAGAAGCACCGGCUAACUACGUG
RNAcentral lists this ribosomal RNA (468 nucleotides) under uncultured bacterium. Its description in RNAcentral is "partial 16S ribosomal RNA". It matches the Rfam family "Bacterial small subunit ribosomal RNA", at positions 28 to 507 of the family's 1533-position model. The record is from RNAcentral.